RNAcentral lists this ribosomal RNA (330 nucleotides) under uncultured eukaryote. RNAcentral's name for it is "partial 18S ribosomal RNA". It matches the Rfam family "Eukaryotic small subunit ribosomal RNA", at positions 1470 to 1796 of the family's 1831-position model. The record is from RNAcentral.
CCCUUAGAUGUUCUGGGCCGCACGCGCGCUACACUGAUGCAUUCAACGAGUAUAAAACCUGUGCCGAGAGGCUUGGGUAAUCUUUUGAAAGUGCAUCGUGAUUGGGAUAGAUGAUUGCAAUUUUUCAUCUUCAACGAGGAAUGCCUAGUAAACGCAAGUCAUCAGCUUGCAUUGAUUACGUCCCUGCCCUUUGUACACACCGCCCGUCGCUCCUACCGAUUGAAUGGUCCGAUGAAAACUAUGGAUUGAGCGUAUGAGUGGCAUUUGUCACUUCCGCGUCUCGAGAAGUAGUUUGAACCUUAUCAUUUAGAGGAAGGAGAAGUCGUAACA